GGUGAACGCUGGCGGUAGGCCUAACACAUGCAAGUCGAACGGCAGCACAGUAAGAGCUUGCUCUUACGGGUGGCGAGUGGCGGACGGGUGAGGAAUACAUCGGAAUCUACUUUUUCGUGGGGGAUAACGUAGGGAAACUUACGCUAAUACCGCAUACGACCUACGGGUGAAAGCAGGGGAUCUUCGGACCUUGCGCGAUUGAAUGAGCCGAUGUCGGAUUAGCUAGUUGGCGGGGUAAAGGCCCACCAAGGCGACGAUCCGUAGCUGGUCUGAGAGGAUGAUCAGCCACACUGGAACUGAGACACGGUCCAGACUCCUACGGGAGGCAGCAGUGGGGAAUAUUGGACAAUGGGCGCAAGCCUGAUCCAGCCAUACCGCGUGGGUGAAGAAGGCCUUCGGGUCGUAAAGCCCUUUUGUUGGGAAAGAAAAGCAGCAGGUUAAUACCCCGCUGUUCUGACGGUACCCAAAGAAUAAGCACCGGCUAACUUCGUG
This 492-nucleotide ribosomal RNA is filed under the name uncultured bacterium. RNAcentral describes it as "partial 16S ribosomal RNA". It matches the Rfam family "Bacterial small subunit ribosomal RNA", at positions 28 to 507 of the family's 1533-position model. The record is from RNAcentral.